AGUAGCGGAGCGCGCGCACUUAACCACUAAGCCACGGGGCUGGCCCCCAGUACACAUCUUCUUAAACCAUAGUUAAUCUCCAAUUAAAGACAAUAACCAAGUUACACUUCUGUCUAACGUGAUACAACUAUCCUGCGUACACUGAGAACAUGUCAACCCUUUCCCCAGAGAGGAUGCAAAGUCCUUGGGUGAUGUUCCCUUUUCUCCUUGAUAUACUGUAGCUUAAAUACAGUAAUGUAAGGUUAACCAUUUUUAAUACAGUUUAUGUUAGAUGAUGAGAGGAAAGAAAAAUAUUUGCUUAAUAUGUGCGUGUCUAAUAUAUACAUACUUGUAUAUGUACACAAACAUUCAUAACAAAAUAAGGAAGAAAUAUAAUAAUCACAGUCCUCAUUUCUCCAACUGGGUAUGUGGUUGUAGCUGAUAUUUAUAACUACCUUACAUUACCCAUUCCAUAGUCCCUCUGCCCUCAGCAAACAGCUCAGCUGGUCGUGGUUCUUUGCCUGGUGAGGUGACCCAAACCUUCAUUUCUGAAGAAUCUGAGCCAUUAAUUGUCUUGCCUGCACUGAAUUUUGUAGUUUUCCAUUGACUUUAGUCACAGAGCUUAACAGUACUAAGAUCCCCUAGAGGAUCUCCUGUGUUUUGGACAUACUCUUUCUUACCUCCAUUGUGCAGUAGCAGCCCAAUUUCCCCUUAGCAAUCAGGAUCACUCACCCCAACCAGUACUGUAAUUCCCUUCUUUGCCUAUUGAUUCAGAGGCAUGAGGAGCCCAAAGUAGACACGUGGCAGUCCUAAAGUCCAGUGUAAUAGAAUCAUGGUUGUAUCCCCUGGUCGAGGCAAUCCUCCCUUUGGAACAAAGACCUGUAGACCAGCGGAGCAUAAGGAUGUGGGGACAGGAAGCAAAAAUUAUGCCAGGAGGUCACUAGGGGUAUAUAGUGAGUGGUGCCAUGCCCAUUUCCACCCCCUUGAUUCCUGGACCUGUGAAUCCUGGCUAUGGGAGAAAUAGCACCAUAUAUUGCAUGUUGAUUUAGAGCAUAUGUAGCCUCCUGGAAAACAUUGCCCCAGCCCUCCAAGGAAUUGCCACCUAGGUAGUGCUGUAACUGAGUCGUCAAAAGGCCAUUCCACCAUUCUGUCAAGCCAGCUGCUUCAGGACGAUGGGGAACAUGGUAAGACCAAUGAAUUCCACAAGCAAUAUAAGAAAUACAUUUCUUCCAAAAUCCAAAGAGGCCCAUUAGGCAUUGUGCUUCUUUUUUGGUUGUGGAAGGGACUAGAUGCAACAAGUUAUCCUUUACCUUAGAAAAGAUAUCUUGACCUGUCCCACACCACUGGACCCCUCGAAUUUCAGUGAAGUAGAAGGCCCCUGAAUUUUUGCUAGAUUUAUUUCCCACUCAGACAAACAAAUGUCUUACCAAUAAAUCUGGUGGUGUUGCUCCUUCUUGCUCAUUAGGUCCAAUCAGCACAAUAUCAUCAAGGCAAUGGACCAGUGUGAUGUCUUGUGGAAGGAAAAUGUGAACAAGGUCCAUGUGGACUAAAUUAUGACAUAGGGCUGCAGAACUGAUACCCCUCUAUGGUAGUGAAAGGUGUAUUGCUGGCCUUGCCAGGUACAGCAGAUUGCUUCUGGUGGUCUUCACCAAUCGGUAUCAAGAAGAAAACAUUUGCCAGAUAAAUGGCUGCGUACCAGGUACCGGGGGAUGUGUUAAUUCGCUCAAGCAAUGGAAUCACAUCUGGAACAGUAGCUGCAAUUAGAGUCACCACCUGGUUAAGUUUGUGGGCUUCUUCUGUCCACUGUCCUUCUCCAAGAUCCUUUUAUCUUCUUCACAGGUCAAACAGGGCUGAAUGAGGAUGUGGAGGGACUCACCAGCCCUGCAUCCUUCAAGUCCUUGAUAAUGGCACUCUGAAGCCCCUGCAGAAAUGUGGUAUUGCUUUUGGUUUACUAUCUUCCCAGGUAGAGGCAGUUCCAGUAGCUUACAUUUGUCCUUUCCCACCAUAAUAGCCCUCACUCCACAGGUCAGAAAACCAAUGUGAGUGUUUUGCCAGUUGCUGAGUAUGUCUAUACCAAUUAUGCAUUCUGGAAUGGGGGAAAUAACCACAGGUUCAGGAACCCACCAGACUCACUUCUCUAGUUCCAUCCUUGCUUCUGCUGUGGAAAAUCCAGUCCCUCUCAACUCCCUUCCACAUAUUUCUGGGCACCCUCAGAGAACCCUUUACAUGUAAGUACUCCUGAAACCAGUUUUCACAAUCACUACACGGCACCUGACCAUUUCAUUUGCUAUUGUUCUCUCUGGGAUGAGCUCUGCCCCUCAAACCCUGGCUCAACUGCUGCUGCUGACUGAGAACGUGGGUGCCAGAGGCUGCUGAAGGCUAAGGGCACCAUCUUGCCAGCUGUGAGUGUGACACAAUUUACUGUCUCAAUGUCUGCCCUUGAGACCGUAGUGAAACAGUUUCUUUAGAUUUUGCUGAGGGGCUGAAUAACAGACAAGAAUGUGCUCAGAACCACCCUUUCCCUAUAAUGGUGUCCAUAAUCCAUCAAUAAAACAUCAGCACCUCAACCUCUCUACCUUCAGGGGAACUCUUUCUCAAGAAGGCUCUUGGUUUCUUUUAGCUGCCAGUCCACUAGACCAGAGCUGCUCAAUACGUGGUCCACAAACUGGGCUGUUCUGUCAGCAGUAUGUGACAAGGUCAACACAGAAACUCAGAGCAAAAUUGGACCAACCUGCACACUUAAAGGAAGACGGGUAGCCACUCGGGCGCGAGGCCAAGGCUCUGGGGCUGAGACUCCAGCAGUUCCGUCCUUUCUCUUUUACCCCUGUCUCCACCUCGUCCAUGCCCCAGAAGAACGAACAGACUAUUCUACAAGCCUGUAAGUAGACAGCCCAUUGAUUCCCUGGGAUAGUCUGACUCUUUCAGUAGAAAUAUGUUUGAAAUCAUCAACAUGUUAUUUCCAGGUACUAGGCAGCCAGAAGACUCACCAAUUUCCAGCGUAAUAUCUUGAUCCACUCAUCAGCUUCUACUCCUGUCUUUGCACAGAGAUAAAAUGUCCUGAAUGGAAAUACCAAGCUGAUAAGACAAAAGAAAGAAUAUGAAAACAUGGAGCCUAAAGCAGGAGCAGCCUUCUUGGCCUCUGGAGUGGCAGACAUGAGGAGAAGGCCCAGAGCACUGUGCAGACAGUGGACCUGACCUUGUCAAGGCAGCUACCUGCCUCCUGCUUGUCUUCGUAUGAGAAAUAUAAACCCCUGUGGGCUCAUUUGGCUGAGAGUGAUGUUCUGAUAACAAUCAGCAUGUGGUACCCAGAUCUUGAUUUCUAAAGUACCACUCUCCAGAAAAAAAGAACAAAAUUUCUUGGAGAAAUAGCUGAUUCUGGAGCGGGAUGCAAGGAAAGUUCAAGAAGUGUCAAAGUCAUGACAUCAAGGAAAACUUGACCAAGUGUUCCAGAGAGAAGACUCGAGAGGUCGGACAAGUCAGUGCAGCCCAUGACUGCGGAUGGGAUCCUCGUGCUGCUCUAAAGGACCUUGUGAGGAAAACCAGUGACACCUGAAUGAGAUCUGUGGCUGCGAUGGUGGUGCUGUAUCAAUGGUAAUUUCCUAAUCUGAAUGGCUCUAUAUGGUCAUGGGGGCGAAUGUCCUUGUGUGUAGGAAAUACACACUGAAGUAUUUGAGUGAUGGGACAUCGUGUUGGCAAUUUACUCUGAAAUGGCUCAGGAACAAACAAAUUUCUUUGUACUGUUCUUGCAAUUUUUCUGUAACUUUGAAAUUAUUUAAAAUAAAAAAUAGCAUGUAAAAACAUAAUAGAGGAUUAACUAAAUUAUGACACAUCCAAAUUAUGGAAUAUUAAGGAAUUUGUUUUAAUAAUGUUUUAG
Long non-coding RNA from Diceros bicornis minor, 3853 nucleotides. RefSeq lists it as uncharacterized. The transcript is spliced from 5 exons. The record is from RefSeq and is a predicted model, not a curated record. Lineage: Eukaryota; Metazoa; Chordata; Mammalia; Perissodactyla; Rhinocerotidae.